RNAcentral lists this transfer RNA (66 nucleotides) under Intestinibacter bartlettii. It matches the Rfam family "tRNA". Rfam says of the family: Transfer RNA (tRNA) molecules are approximately 80 nucleotides in length. Their secondary structure includes four short double-helical elements and three loops (D, anti-codon, and T loops). The record is from RNAcentral. Lineage: Bacteria; Bacillati; Bacillota; Clostridia; Peptostreptococcales; Peptostreptococcaceae.
UGGUGUGGCUCAAUGGCAGAGCAGCUGACUUGUAAUCAGCAGGUUGUAGGUUCGACUCCUAUCACC